GAAUUCAACUCCUACGGGAGGCAGCAGUGGGGAAUAUUGCACAAUGGGCGAAAGCCUGAUGCAGCGACGCCGCGUGAGGGAUGACGGCCUUCGGGUUGUAAACCUCUUUCAGCAGGGAAGAAGCGAAAGUGACGGUACCUGCAGAAGAAGCGCCGGCUAACUACGUGCCAGCGGCCGCGGUAAUACGUAGGGCGCAAGCGUUGUCCGGAAUUAUUGGGCGUAAAGAGCUCGUAGGUGGUUCGUCGCGUCUGCUGUGAAAGUCCGAGGCUUAACCUCGGAUCUGCAGUGGGUACGGGCGGACUAGAGUGCGGUAGAGGAGAUCGGAAUUCCUGGUGUAGCGGUGGAAUGCGCAGAUAUCAGGAGGAACACCGGUGGCGAAGGCGGAUCUCUGGGCCGUAACUGACGCUGAGGAGCGAAAGCAUGGGGAGCGAACAGGAUUAGAUACCCUAGUAGUCCAGGCGUU
RNAcentral lists this ribosomal RNA (463 nucleotides) under uncultured bacterium. RNAcentral describes it as "bacterial SSU rRNA". It matches the Rfam family "Bacterial small subunit ribosomal RNA", at positions 328 to 803 of the family's 1533-position model. The record is from RNAcentral.